This is an RNA transcript of Arabidopsis thaliana (thale cress), 636 nucleotides long. RefSeq lists it as uncharacterized. Lineage: Eukaryota; Viridiplantae; Streptophyta; Magnoliopsida; Brassicales; Brassicaceae. The record is from RefSeq. The transcript is spliced from 2 exons.
GCCUGCGUUUGGGGUUGUAUGAACAUUAGAAAUUCUUCGGCGGUGCACGAAACAAACCUCGCGUUUCAAGCAUCUAAUACUCACUGACUCAAUCGCGAUGAGACUAAUGUGAUUUACAAUAACCAUGCGGCUAAUCCAUUUGCAACUUCAGAAGAUCUUCUUGGUCUCAAACCCUUAGUUGAAGGUUUGUUUCUUUAUCCCGAUCAGCGAAGAUUUAGUGACAACUACGUAUGGAUCCGUGUCCAGGAAGAGAGAUAAAAGAUUGUUGGGGAGGAAACUUUGAACAACAAAGAAAUUAUUAAACAAUAGAGGUUGUAUGAACCAAAUAUUGAAUUAUGCAUUUAUGCUGUUCAUGAAGUAUGUAUUUCCCAAAUUCAUCAACACCUAUUGGAUAUAUAGAUUCGUUUGAACGGCGAUCGGAAAAUCCUAGCUCUAUACAGAGAGAGCUUAUCACAAAAAUUUGGUCUUUUUGCAAAAUAUACGAUUGUCUAGUAGUUUCGUGAAGAUGUAUCAUCUUCGAGUUCGAAACUUCAGUAUGGCUUAAGAGAUCUCUUUUGUUUUCCAACAGAAUAAUAAAAUUAUUCAAAAUUUGAUGUAGCGGCCCAUUUUUUCCUCAUGUAUGUGGUCUUAUAAAAU